This is a long non-coding RNA of Saccostrea cuccullata (small rock oyster), 195 nucleotides long. RefSeq lists it as uncharacterized. Lineage: Eukaryota; Metazoa; Mollusca; Bivalvia; Ostreida; Ostreidae. The transcript has 2 exons. The record is from RefSeq and is a predicted model, not a curated record.
UGCCAUUGACUGAAAUAGAAAAAAAAUGAAAAACAUAUUACAUUAUUUCAAUACGAGGAUAAUUACGUGAACAGAUUGAUCCGUUAUAAAUAAAUUUAAAUAAAAAAGACUGUAGGGGUUAAUAUUCACUCGAGUACAACAAAGCAAAGUUUCCUGUUCAAUUUCGUAUGUUCUAUUUAUUAUUUACUUAUUGCA